ACGACCUUACUUGAACAGGAUCUGUUCUAUAGGCUCGUACCGCUGCAUCCUUUACCAAUAAGGAGGCAAGCACUUCAGUCUGGUUGAUGCAUUCUAACCUCUAGGCCAGAGCGUGAUUAACGGCCUGGAUUCACCUGAUGGGUGCCAUCCGACGGCUGUAGAGGAUCGUUCCUGCCUGGUUUCACACCAGCGCAGGGUGGCUCAGAGGUUGUCUGACAGACU
RNAcentral lists this small nucleolar RNA (222 nucleotides) under Triticum aestivum (bread wheat). RNAcentral describes it as "Plant small nucleolar RNA U3". It matches the Rfam family "Plant small nucleolar RNA U3". From Rfam's summary of the family: Small nucleolar RNAs (snoRNAs) are involved in the processing and modification of rRNA in the nucleolus. There are two main classes of snoRNAs: the box C/D class, and the box H/ACA class. Lineage: Eukaryota; Viridiplantae; Streptophyta; Magnoliopsida; Poales; Poaceae. The record is from Rfam by way of RNAcentral. RNAcentral also lists the same sequence under 1 other name.